This 512-nucleotide ribosomal RNA is filed under the name uncultured Glomus. RNAcentral describes it as "SSU rRNA". It matches the Rfam family "Eukaryotic small subunit ribosomal RNA", at positions 569 to 1081 of the family's 1831-position model. Lineage: Eukaryota; Fungi; Glomeromycota; Glomeromycetes; Glomerales; Glomeraceae. The record is from RNAcentral.
CGCAGCCGCGGUAAUUCCAGCUCCAAUAGCGUAUAUUAAAGUUGUUGCAGUUAAAAAGCUCGUAGCUGAAUUUCGGGAUCAAUACGUCGGUCGUGCUUUCGGGUACGUACUGGCGUCAUUGGUUUCUCCUUUCUGACGAACCAUGAUGUCAUUAAUUUGGUGUUAUGGGGAGUUAGGACUGUUACUUUGAAAAAAUUAGAGUGUUUAAAGCAGGCAUUAGCUUGAAUACAUUAGCAUGGAAUAAUGAAAUAGGACGUUCGAUCCUAUUUUGUUGGUUUCUAGGAUCAACGUAAUGAUUAAUAGGGAUAGUUGGGGGCAUUAGUAUUCAAUUGUCAGAGGUGAAAUUCUUGGAUUUAUUGAAGACUAACUACUGCGAAAGCAUUUGCCAAGGAUGUUUUCAUUAAUCAAGAACGAAAGUUAGGGGAUCGAAGACGAUACAGAUACCGUCGUAGUCUUAAACCAUAAACUAUGACCGACUAGGGAUCGGAUGAUGUUAAAUUUUUAAUGUACUC